This 429-nucleotide ribosomal RNA is filed under the name uncultured bacterium. Its description in RNAcentral is "partial 16S ribosomal RNA". It matches the Rfam family "Bacterial small subunit ribosomal RNA", at positions 355 to 801 of the family's 1533-position model. The record is from RNAcentral.
UGGGGAAUAUUGCACAAUGGGCGAAAGCCUGAUGCAGCAACGCCGCGUGAGUGAUGAAGGUCUUCGGAUUGUAAAGCUCUGUCUUUUGGGACGAUAAUGACGGUACCAAAGGAGGAAGCCACGGCUAACUACGUGCCAGCAGCCGCGGUAAUACGUAGGUGGCGAGCGUUGUCCGGAUUUACUGGGCGUAAAGGGUGCGUAGGCGGAUGUUUAAGUGAGAUGUGAAAUACCCGGGCUUAACUUGGGUGCUGCAUUUCAAACUGGAUAUCUAGAGUGCAGGAGAGGAGAAUGGAAUUCCUAGUGUAGCGGUGAAAUGCGUAGAGAUUAGGAAGAACACCAGUGGCGAAGGCGAUUCUCUGGACUGUAGCUGACGCUGAGGCACGAAAGCGUGGGUAGCAAACAGGAUUAGAUACCCUGGUAGUCCACGCC